AGCGAACGCUGGCGGCGUGCCUAACACAUGCAAGUCGAACGUGAAAAAGAGCAACCCUGAGUAAAGUGGCGUACGGGUGAGUAACACGUAGGUAAUCUACCCCAGAAUCCGGAAUAACCUGCCGAAAGGCGGGCUAUACUGGAUAGAGCGACGGAAUCCGUAAUUGGGUUUUUCGGGAAAGGGAGCUCGCAAGAGCCUUCGUUCUGGGAUGAGCCUGCGUCUCAUUAGCUAGUUGGUGGGGUAAUGGCCCACCAAGGCUUUGAUGGGUAGCUGGUCUGAGAGGAUGAUCAGCCACACUGGAACUGAAACACGGUCCAGACUCCUACGGGAGGCAGCAGUGGGGAAUCUUGCGCAAUGGACGAAAGUCUGACGCAGCCACACCGCGUGAGUGAAGAAGGCCUUCGGGUUGUAAAGCUCUGUCGGGCGGGACGAAAAUUUUCUGAAUUAACAGCCCAGAGAACUGACGGUACCGCCAAAGGAAGCACCGGCUAACUUCAUGCCAGCCGCCGCAGUAA
This 515-nucleotide ribosomal RNA is filed under the name uncultured bacterium. RNAcentral describes it as "partial 16S ribosomal RNA". It matches the Rfam family "Bacterial small subunit ribosomal RNA", at positions 29 to 523 of the family's 1533-position model. The record is from RNAcentral.